GACGAACGCUGGCGGCGUGCUUAACACAUGCAAGUCGAACGAUGAAGCCGGAGCUUGCUCUGGUGAAUUAGUGGCGAACGGGUGAGUAACACGUGAGUAACCUGCCCUUGACUCUGGGAUAACUGCGGGAAACUGUAGCUAAUACCGGAUACGACCCUCGGAGGCAUCUCCUGGGGGUGGAAAGAAUUUCGGUCAAGGAUGGACUCGCGGCCUAUCAGCUAGUUGGUGAGGUAAAGGCCCACCAAGGCGACGACGGGUAGCCGGCCUGAGAGGGUGACCGGCCACACUGGGACUGAGACACGGCCCAGACGCCUACGGGAGGCGGCAGGGGGGAAUAUUGCACAAUGGGCGCAAGCCUGAUGCAGCAACGCCGCGGGAGGGAUGACGGCCUUCGGGUUGUAAACCUCUUUUAGCAGGGAAGAAGCGAAAGUGACGGUACCUGCAGAAAAAGCACCGGCUAACUACGUGCCAGCCGCCGCCGUAA
This 484-nucleotide ribosomal RNA is filed under the name uncultured bacterium. RNAcentral's name for it is "partial 16S ribosomal RNA". It matches the Rfam family "Bacterial small subunit ribosomal RNA", at positions 28 to 523 of the family's 1533-position model. The record is from RNAcentral.